CCCCAAAACCAAUUGAUACAGCUUGGAAGAUUAUCAUUUUUUCUUAAAAAGAUACAUACUUGCAUGGUUUUUUUGAAUGUGUCAUUACUAAGAUAAAUUAGGCUGUCUCGAUAACUGAAGAAGUUACAGCUAAAACCGAAACAGCCUGGACAUCGAAUACAAUCUCACACUAUUGCCAGCUUUCUAACAUCACAUUUAUCCCACGCGAUGGUGCACUUUCAGCAUAAUAAUGCAAGGACCCUAGGAUGCAGCAGACACAGAAAUAAUGUCAGAAGCAAUUCUUCACAUUUGGAUCUUACCACAUCAAGUGCAAAUAGUGAACUUAAACAUGAAAAUGCAAUUUGCUCCUUCUAAAGUAUACAUUUUUAUCUCUUGCAAAAGAAAAUAAAAAACCCCACAUUCAUUUCCUACGCCUCGAGGUAAAAAGAAUGGCAUCUAUCACUGGUGCAGAGAAUGCUGAAGGAUUUAGAGGCAAUCUUUUCAUAAUGCUUCUUUGGGUGAGGAAGUGGAGUUAUGAGUUGCUCAAAAUUCAUAAAGAUUAUUAAGUUUACAUCCUCACAGAAGAUCCGCCACCAGUGCAUCGCUCAACUAGACUGUCAGCAGUCCUGCCCAACUCUACUGAGAACAGGUCUCUGGCUCCAGACCUUCAUUCAUUUUGUGGCAUUAGUGCUCCAGCAGAUGAAAUAAAGAUUCUAUCCAAUUCAAAAAUCCAACAAACGAACAAAACCCCCAAACCCAAUCACCUCCAGUGGAACAAGGAUGCAGUAUCGUCACUGAACUCAGGUACUCAUUCUAUCAAUAACCCUUCAUGGACGUAAUUUUAACUGGAGAGUCGGUUUUUAUUUCAGCAAGUUUACUCCGGAUUACCAACUUGUGUGUUUGUGCCUGCUGGGCUAUUUGAAUGAUUACCCUGUCCCUCAAUGCCCUCAGCUAUGACCGACUGGGCACCUAUGGCCAUGACCUCUCACAGUAAGGAAGCUUCCUAAACAACAGUGAGCUUUCCUGCUUGAUGAAUUCCAACCGCACAGCUCAUCUAAACUGAGCCUAUGGGCUUCCUGGGUUUCCUUCUUGCUCUCCGCAUAGGUCUACGGGAAGUUAUGAAACAUAUUUUUCUAGUCCUCCCAGGAGCAAGGCCAGGUUCACAAUUUGACCUCAGAAACACAGCAGUCCUGCAAAGCCAGACAGCCUGAUGGAACUGAGGAUUAGUGCACUCUGCCUGGCCCAGCACAGACCAUAACAUGCAGCACCGAGCAAUGCUGUGUAUGGGAAAUGACAAGCAAUGGACCAGGGGGAGAAAAGUAAUGGGAUUUAAUCACAUAAAAAUAUCCCAGGUACACAGCUCCUUUACAACAAGCCACCCACCUCAGGUAAGGGCUCCGUGUUCUUCUGAAACAACACCCCCUCCCUUGUAAUUUACAAGGGAGUUGUCCAACCAGCUCUUUUUGAUCAGAUUAAGUUACAGGGUUCUGGACACACCUGGAGAGUCUCCUUCCCAUCAGGUUAAUACUCCCCGAUCCCCCGGAAUAAUUUUAAGUAAACAUACAAAAAUAUCUAUCUGUGCAUCGGAGAGAUGUCUUAGAUGUGUGAGGAAUGAUGCAGGAACAGGGCAGGCUCAUGUGAAAGACUGUCACAUACUAAUUAAGGACACGGCUGCCGAAAAAAGGAAGGCUGACCCUGCAGUCUUAUUUACACAAUUUCCAGCCAGAGGGCUGUGAAGUGGAGCCCCAGUGGGGGCAUUUCUAUCGGAAACCCAAGGGCACCUGCAUUAGGGAAACUGGUGUAAAUGAAUCCCUUUGCUCAAUGACAGAAGAAAAGACACCAAUACUUCAAUUAUCUUGGCAUGGAAUCUAUGUGCUGACCCUCUUGGAGUCCACAUGACAAGACACAGUUAUCUCUUAUUUUAUUAUUAUUAUUAUUUGCACUUCCCUAUGUGUUCAGUUAGAAGGAGGACGUUUUGCGACGAGAACGAUAGAGCUUUUUAGACAGAAGGUAGUGAUUCAAAAACUGCAAAACUUCAGCUUGCAAAAAUAGCCUAAGUGACCUCUUGCAGUACUCUGACCACUCUGCAGCAAGCAGGAGGCAACCCCUGUGAAGAGCGGAUUCUGGCAAAGUUCUCUCUUCACAGAUGAUGCACAGCUUAAGCUAUAAUGAGUUUUUGGGUUACAAAUGCUGAACGCAUUAAUAUUCCUUGAUGAUAAUUAUCACAGUAUAAGCACCUUUCCCAAUGUGAGUAGCAUAAAGCAACUGAAGCAGCAUUUUUACUACAUUUGAAACAAGCUGGAAAAUGGGAUUUUCUACUCCUGUAACCUGGGGUCAACAUACAUCAAGCAUUGCAUAUUAAACACACCUAUAUAUGAACCCGGCAUCAUUUUUCCCUCCCUCCUUCUUCCUGUAUACCUGAAGCUCUCUCCUUUAUCCAGUCUUCAUUAUGAAAUUCUUGAUAUGGACAUACAUGUGAUAUACAUAGUUUGAAAAAGAAAUGCAUUUCCCCCGUAUCACAGGACUCCUAUGUUUCUUCUUAUGAGAAUCCAAAUAGCAAAUAAGAUCAGUAAGCCAUGCUUUAGAGAUGUGUCUCUGUGCAGUUUAAAUGAAUACAGGCUGCAUAUAAAACAGGAUGAAAAUCAGAAUUGAGCAAACAGGCUCCUAGAAGAACCAAAGGCAUUAUAUACAAGACAAACUACCAGCCUUUAUCUUUAUACUUUCAAAACUAACAAUAGUAGAAAGCACCGAAUACAUGUGAAUUCUAACCCACCAAUAUGAUAACAGUCAAGAUGUCAGCAUGAUAUUUACUGGCAAUAUUUUCACUAAAGAUUCUAGAAACCAACUUUCAUUCCAGAUUAAAAGAACAAUUAUUAUUAUUGUUUGGUAAUAACCAUCAAAUAUUAUAAGAAAAAUUGGUAAAGGUGAUCCAUUAUGCAUUACGUCAGUGUAUACAACAAUACCUAAUAUUCAGGAUUUGCCACAGCAUACCCAAGCAGAUGCUGUAAAGAUGUCACUUACUAUGCCCCAAUUUGAUUUGAUAAUAUGCUCUGAAUAAACUACAAAUUGAUUUCCCCUCCCUUUCCCUAUAUACAGUAAAAAAGAAAAAAAAAAUCUGUUAUAAAACUCAACUGAUACUAGGGUGGCUUAAAAUCACUGCAAUGUAAGAGCCUCCUUUUUAAAAAACAUGCUGUAUAUCCUUUAAAUACUCUCUGUAAAUAAUCCCAACAGGACUUGGACUAAACAGUGACAAAGGGAAACCCAGUUUGAACCCUGAAUCUGAAGAAUGUGACCAGAUUUAGGAAUUCUGUAGGUGUGAAUGAGCUGAACUCAUUUGUACCGUGUUACCCAGACUUCAUUUAGAUAAUAUGCCACGCUACAACUGCUUCAAGUUCUGUAACAUCAUUUUUACUUAUGUGCUGCAAAAAUGUCUUCAAAUCCCAUUUGAAUAGAUGGCAGGGUUAUGACGGAACCUUUACUAAAUAUUUAACAGCACUAUCGGCUUAUUAAAUACUAUAAUGUGAGAGCCAUGAAAGCAUGAUAUACAGUGCUUGCCUUUUUUCUAAAACUUAAUGCUUCUGCUCAUUUUGAACACUCUGCAAGCCCAUUCAUCAGUAGAACUGAGGCAUUUUAAAAAGUCCUCAUUUACUAGCAGAUAAAUGUGGUUAGAGAAGCUUUUUAGUGUAGAAGUGACUGGAAACCUAUUUGGUUUUACUGUGCAAAUUUGCUUUACUCUGCACUAGGAAGAAGAAAAAAAAUAACACCUCACAAAACAUUAAAGCUGCAUUUAAAAAAAACAGUUAAUACAAUUCUGGCAUUUAGUCUGUUAGGAUAUUUGUAAUUAACACUAUGCUUUAAAAAAAGUUAAUCAAAUUUCAUAGCCUGCUUCAGUGGGUAGAAAGUCGGAAUCUUCUCUGAAAAGAUAUUUCUAUUCACAAAGAGAUAUACUAUAGUCUAAUUUAAAAGAACACUCCCUUUCCACUGGAAACCCGUGGAGUGAGCAUUUACCCUGUAAACACUGUAACAAUGAUUAUCUGUCCUUUCCCAUUCUCAGUGGAGACUCUUGCUUUUGAAAAUGUCUUGUGGUGACUUACUAAAUUCAGGCUAUUUCAAUUAGUAUUACUGCACAUUAAAAAUUAAUUGCAUUACUGAGUAGAUUAAGGUUUAAAUUUCAAUUCUACAGUAUGUGCACUAGAAAUGACAGCUAAAAAUCAAUGCUCUUUGGCCCACAAUCGGAAGUGUGUACACUUGAAUAGUUCAGGACUGGCGUCACUGGCCAGGCAGUUUUAAAAGACUUGAUAGUUCAAUUGAAGGUGUGUCAGGUCUAAUUCUAGACUUUAGCUUGAAUGUUGCGCAGUAGCUCAGGCUUAGAAAAAGAAAAACAGAACAAUAGUUGCCCUAACCAUUGGGAAAACAAACGUACACAGGUACUAAAAUGAUGACAACAAAGAGAUUAACAGUUGACCAAACUUCAUGUAUAAUUAUCCCCAGGCUAAAAUUUUGUUCAGAAUUCUGUUUACUAAGAACACGAUCCUUGACUUAAUUCCACAGUAUUUUUUAUUAGUUAUUGAGUGACAG
This 4557-nucleotide long non-coding RNA is filed under the name Sus scrofa (pig). RNAcentral describes it as "lncRNA (ENSSSCG00060073217.1)". Lineage: Eukaryota; Metazoa; Chordata; Mammalia; Artiodactyla; Suidae. The record is from RNAcentral.